RNAcentral lists this ribosomal RNA (440 nucleotides) under uncultured bacterium. RNAcentral's name for it is "partial 16S ribosomal RNA". It matches the Rfam family "Bacterial small subunit ribosomal RNA", at positions 338 to 795 of the family's 1533-position model. The record is from RNAcentral.
CCUACGGGAGGCAGCAGUAGGGAAUAAUGCUCAAUGGGGGAAACCCUGAAGCAGCAACGCCGCGUGGAGGAUGAAGGUUUUCGGAUUGUAAACUCCUUUUGUUAGAGAAGAUAAUGACGGUAUCUAACGAAUAAGCACCGGCUAACUCCGUGCCAGCCGCCGCGGUAAUACGGAGGGUGCAAGCGUUACUCGGAAUCACUGGGCGUAAAGGGCGCGUAGGCGGGAUAGCAAGUCAGAUGUGAAAUCCUAUGGCUUAACCAUAGAACUGCAUUUGAAACUGUUAUUCUAGAGUAUGGGAGAGGUAGGUGGAAUUCUUGGUGUAGGGGUAAAAUCCGUAGAGAUCAAGAGGAAUACUCAUUGCGAAGGCGACCUGCUAGAACAUAACUGACGCUGAUGCGCGAAAGCGUGGGGAGCAAACAGGAUUAGAUACCCGGGUAGUC